This is a long non-coding RNA of Gorilla gorilla gorilla (western lowland gorilla), 3365 nucleotides long. RefSeq lists it as uncharacterized. The record is from RefSeq and is a predicted model, not a curated record. NCBI's taxonomy places the organism in Eukaryota, Metazoa, Chordata, Mammalia, Primates, Hominidae. The transcript has 8 exons.
UUUGUUUCAGAGACACAAGACCAUCACACAAUUAAAUGUAUUCAAAAGUUCCUGUAGCUUGCCAGUUUUUACAGCAGCACCAGAAUGACACAAGAUCUGUAUUGGGUUCUGAGUUGGAUAGUUACUGCCUCUUCACCUCACUUGCCUUCACUAUCAACUUCCAUAACCAGUGAAAAAUAAUGAAAUAAUGGCGAUCAACCCUCUUCUGCUCUUGGCAUCUCAGCUUUUCCCAAGCCUUCACUCUCCACCUCAACUGAACAUGGAAAAUAAUCUUAAUGAGUCACAAGAAACAUAAGAUUGAAGCAACUCAUAAUAUCACAGGAGAAGCUAUUCCAUCUUAAACAUUUCUGGAAGAAUUUCUCACCUCAAUUUACCAACUCACUAAUUUUCACGUUGCCAAUAGCUCAUGAGAAUUUUAAUUAAAAAAUGAGCUUUGGAUAGCAGAUGUAAGAUUUUGAUGAAACAUCUCAGUAUCUUGGACUUGGAUAUCUCCAUUUUUACUAAAAAUUUUCAAGGACAUGUUUAAACGUGACACAAAUCCCUGGUGAACUCACAACUCUUCUAUUUAUAAUGGCAAUAAAAAUCAAGAUUAAAAAGAUAUAGCACAUAUUUAUAGCUAUACUUCGAACAUUCUCUGAAAAACAUCUUGACAUUGAAUGUUGCCGGCACAUUUUGCGUGGGAUGAACAAAGUAUGUCACAGAACUUCUGGAUUUUGUUCAGGGUCUCAGCAGUCCUGUGACUAUUGCCUGAGGAACAUAGAAGGAGUGCCAGAGAACGAAAAGAGAGAGACGGAGAGAGACAGAGAGAGAGAUGAUAGUCGGGAAACGACUGGAAGAAGUCUGCCUGAGUCACUGAAAAUGAUCACAGUGAGCAUCCGUGAGGGACUGAUCCCAAGCAAGCUGGCAGCAACCUGUUCGAACAAUUGGAAAACGUAAUGGAACAUCAAUGAGGCCACGUCCAGCAGCUUGACAGCCUCUGUCUUUGUUCUUACUGCUCUGUUUCUUGCCUGGUGCCACUUUAUCAUGAUCUGGGAUGUUCAGCCUUUUAGAUUUUUCCAAAGAACUUAUCUCUUUUCAGUUGACAAACCAAGUUGUGCAGAGUUUAGUAAGUGUAAUCUGGCAAUUCAUGAAGACUUUCCUUAAGGAAUGUGGAUUUAAAUAGUUUUGAGGCAAUGAUUUCUCAGAUCCUCAACUUUCAUGUAUACUAUUUUCUCAAGUUCAUUGCUUUAUUUUUAUUUUUUUCAGAUAAGGCCUUGCUCUGUUGCCCAGGCUGGGGUGUGGUAGUGUGACCACAGCUCACUGCAGCCUCCCACUCCUGGGCUCAAGCAAUCUUCCCACCUCAGCCUGCUGAGUAGUUGGGAUUACAGGCACACACCACCACCCUCAGCUAAGUUUUUAAAUUUUUGUAGGAACAAGGUCUCACUAUAUUGCCCAGGCUGGUCUCAAACUCCUGGGCUGGCAUAGUCCUCCCACCUCAGCUUCCCAAAGUGCUGAGAUUACAGGCAUGAGCCACUGCACCUGGCCUAUAUAGUUAAUUCUAUUUUGAAGAUUAACCUGUAACAAUAUAUAGACAUAUGCACAGUCUUUGCUGCAGCACUAAUUGUGCAGCAAAACAUAGGAAAUAACUGAUUGUCCAGCAUUAAAAAUCUGAUUAAAUAAACCAUGGAACUCUAUAGAAAACCAAGUAGUGUGCUUUGAAGUUCUAAACAUCACUGUGAAAUACUUCUAGAAUGAUGACCAGAAGAUAAGUUAAAACAUGCACAAUGGACAAAAUGGCAUCUAAUAUGCUACCAUUCCUACAUAUGGAGAAAGGAGGAAACUAGAUAAAGGGCACAAAAUAUGAUUUAUGUUUCAGAAUUUAUUUGUUUUUAGAUUUGUUUUAAGAACCAUAAUAAUAUUUUAUAAAAUUAUAACACAACAUUAAUUUAUUUUGCAAAAGCAAUCCCUGCAAAUUAAAAGCAAAUGCAACUAAGGAACCAACUAUAUAUGAAGCUAGUGGCAUAAUCAUACAGAAAUGAACUAUUUCAGAUCACUUAAGUAAACCAGUAAAAUGACAUGAUAUCCACAGAGAUGUAUACACUGAGAAGCAAAAUACUCAAAAUGCAAAUUAAAAAAUUAAUCUCAGUGCAGGUUAGCAAUCGUAUUGUCACUGCAGCCUCCCGCUCCUUGAUAUUUUGAAGCCAGCUAGACAAACUUCACCAAGAAUACACCUAAAUUCAAACAAAACAAGGCUUAUUAAAUUGUAUCAGUAUCCUGGCAAGAAUGUGAAGAAAAGGGAAACUUUGUACACUGUUGGUGAGAAUGUAAAUUAGUAAAACCACUGCAGAGAAUAGUACGGAGGUUCCUCAAAACACUAAAAAUAGAGCUACCCACUGUUAGCUAUAUACCCAAAAGAAAGCAAAUUGAUAUAUCGAAGAGUUAUCUGUCCUCCCAUGCUUGUUGCAAUACUGUUCACAGUAGCCAGGAUUUGGAAGCAACGUAAGUGUCCAUCAACAGAUGAACAGAUGAAGACAAUGUGCUACACACAAACAAUGGCGUACUAUUGAGCCAUAAAAAAGGAUGAGAUCCUGUCAUUUCCAACAACAUAGACGGAACUGGAGAUCAUUAAGUGAAAUAAGCCGGGCACAGAAAGACAAACAUUGCGUUCUCUCACUUAUAUGUGGGAUCUAAAAAUCAAGACAAUUGAAGGCAUGGACAUAGAGUGUAGAAGGAUGGUUAUCAGAGGCUGGGAAGGGCAGUGGGACAGGGGAUGUUUGCGGUGGAAAUGAGGGUGAUUAAUGGAUACAAAAUGUAACUAGAAAGAAUAAAUAGGACCUUUUAUUUGAUAACCCAACAGGUGACUCUAGCAAUAAUAAUUUCAUUGUAUAUUUUUCAAUGGCUAAACGAGUAUAAUUGGAUUGAUGUAACACAAAGGAUUAAUGCUUGAGGGGAUGAUAACCCAUUCUCUAUGAUGUGAUUAUUAUUCUGCGUUGCAUACCUGCAUGAAAACAUCUUAUGUACCCCAUAAAUAUAUAUCUACUAUGUACUUACAAAACUUAAAAGCAACCAACUAAAUAAAUAAAUGAAUUUCUAUAGCAAAGAAGUAGAGGACCUAUGGAGCAUCUGAGUAAGGGAGGUGGGAAGUGUUUAUUAUGCGAUUGGGGCUUUUAUUAAAAAUUUUGGGAUGGAGUCCAAGAAAAUAAAUCAGUUGCUGUCACCCUGGGACAAUUCAGUGAUUGAUUGUCUUAAUAUAUUUUAUUAAAAGACUAGAGAAAUAUAGGUGAGCUAAGCUUAUCAUUGUUACUAAAACUAUAGUAACUCAUAUGAGCUGAAAGAGGAAAAGAUUAGGUUGUCAAAUUGAUUGUAUAGGGAUCAGUUUAGAUGUG